This 69-nucleotide transfer RNA is filed under the name Ictidomys tridecemlineatus (thirteen-lined ground squirrel). RNAcentral's name for it is "Spermophilus tridecemlineatus (thirteen-lined ground squirrel) tRNA". It matches the Rfam family "tRNA". From Rfam's summary of the family: Transfer RNA (tRNA) molecules are approximately 80 nucleotides in length. Their secondary structure includes four short double-helical elements and three loops (D, anti-codon, and T loops). The record is from Rfam by way of RNAcentral. Lineage: Eukaryota; Metazoa; Chordata; Mammalia; Rodentia; Sciuridae.
GGGGUUAUAGCUCAGUGGUAGAGUGCUUGCCUAGCAUUCAUGAGUUGCUGGGUUUGAUUCUCAGUACCA